AUAACGGUCCUAAGGUAGCGAAAUUCCUUGUCGGGUAAGUUCCGACCCGCACGAAUGGCGUAACGAUGGCCACACUGUCUCCUCCCGAGACUCAGCGAAGUUGAAGUGGUUGUGAAGAUGCAAUCUACCCGCUGCUAGACGGAAAGACCCCGUGAACCUUUACUGUAGCUUUGCAUUGGACUUUGAAGUCACUUGUGUAGGAUAGGUGGGAGGCUUAGAAGCAGAGACGCCAGUCUCUGUGGAGCCGUCCUUGAAAUACCACCCUGGUGUCUUUGAGGUUCUAACCCAGACCCGUUAUCCGGGUCGGGGACCGUGCAUGGUAGGCAGUUUGACUGGGGCGGUCUCCUCCCAAAGAGUAACGGAGGAGUUCGAAGGUUACCUAGGUCCGGUCGGAAAUCGGACUGAUAGUGCAAUGGCAAAAGGUAGCUUAACUGCGAGACCGACAAGUCGAGCAGGUGCGAAAGCAGGACAUAGUGAUCCGGUGGUUCUGAAUGGAAGGGCCAUCGCUCAACGGAUAAAAGGUACUCCGGGGAUAACAGGCUGAUUCCGCCCAAGAGUUCAUAUCGACGGCGGAGUUUGGCACCUCGAUGUCGGCUCAUCACAUCCUGGGGCUGUAGUCGGUCCCAAGGGUAUGGCUGUUCGCCAUUUAAAGUGGUACGUGAGCUGGGUUUAAAACGUCGUGAGACAGUUUGGUCCCUAUCUGCAGUGGGCGUUGGAAGUUUGACGGGGGCUGCUCCUAGUACGAGAGGACCGGAGUGGACGAACCUCUGGUGUACCGGUUGUCACGCCAGUGGCAUCGCCGGGUAGCUAAGUUCGGAAGAGAUAAGCGCUGAAAGCAUCUAAGCGCGAAACUCGCCUGAAGAUGAGACUUCCCUUGCGGUUUAACCGCACUAAAGAGUCGUUCGAGACCAGGACGUUGAUAGGUGGGGUGUGGAAGCGCGGUAACGUGUGAAGCUAACCCAUACUAAUUGCUCGUGAGGCUUGACUCU
Molecule: ribosomal RNA, 989 nt
Filed under: human oral metagenome
Description: bacterial LSU rRNA
Rfam family: Bacterial large subunit ribosomal RNA
Source: RNAcentral